CCUGUCCGCCAUCUGCUGUUGAGAUACUGUAACGGUUCUCGUCUGAAAAGAGGACUUCUCCCACUGCUGGUGCUGUGCUACCCACUGAAGACGGUCCAGGAAACAAAGAAGAAGACUGAAAGGAUACCACUGGGAGUGCUUCAGUGAGGACCUCAGUGACCGUUCUCCAUCACAGUAGGUGCUCAGCGGAGGGGACUACCUCACCCUUGAGAGGCAGAAACAAGCCAAUCAUGCACUUACGAGAUGGACCUACACCAAGUUCCAGAUUACAAGGACUUGUUCCAAAGAUGGAAGAGUUCCAUAACGAAGCUGAAUUUCUAAAGGUUAUAUGGAAACACUUGUACUCGUCCUCCUCUAACAAGUCUGUUUGGCACUCUGCAUGCUGCAAAGGAGCACAAUAAAUGCGGUGAAUGUUACUCAGGAUCCUCAUGACAACUUUUACCCAUGCUCUGAAUUCAUGGACAAGGUCACCACCGCCUACAUCGUAACUCGGGGACUACAUUACUUCCAAAUGGAACACCUCACUUCUGUCCCAACGUCAAGUUACAUGGGUGCUGUUGGCAAUCCAUAUAAAAUGAUUGAUUAUUUUCUAGGUCAUGCAGCAAAACAGUUUGUAGACAAGCACGUCUUACCGGAGGUUCCUCAACAGCCAGGUCAUGGUCUCCAAAUCAAACACACUAGCCUGCAGGUACUGUGGAAAACUGUACCAGAGACCAAAAGCUCUCCGCAAACACGAAGCAUCCGGAAUAUAAUGCUGAAAACAAUCAGGAUUCCACAUCUUCAGCAGAAUCAAGAUCAUCUAUUUAUCAGUACACCCGUCUGUCUCUCAUGCUUGGGCUUCUUCGAAUAAAUCACAACGAUUCCAUUCACAUGGGAGAUGGUGGCAGGCAUGAUGAGACUAGUAAAGUGGUUCUGUUUAUACUACAAGGCAAGCAAAUGUCCAAAGUAUGCAUAUGGUCUCCUUUGAAACACAGGCAAAGGCAUAUGCUCUCCUAUAUGAACGGCAGGCUUUAUAGAUUGAUAUGGAACCGCACAGUCAACCAUCAAGGCAGAGAAGACACCAAUCAUCCCAUCGACCUUGACUUGGAGCAUUGCAACAGGGCUUUCAAAGAUGAUGUACACACAUACAAGGGGAGGUACACAGAUAAAAGACGAUUCUCAAAGUCAGCAGAAGUGCGCUGUCAAUGGAAGAAUUAUGCCAAAAAUACGACAAAUUGGCAUUCCGCAAGAAAUGUUCGGGAAGGCAUGGAGUUGUUGAUCCUUCUUGGUGAUAUUCUUAAACUUGUAGAACAAUUCCAUUCCUAUGCAGCUCAAUUCAAUGAGGCCAACAAGCCACUGCCACAGAGAAAUCAAAAACAUGCUGAGUGACAUCCAAAAUUGGAUUUCAGAAAGUCUUAAAGUCUUCAGUAGCCGCACAUACUAUAACAUCUGAACCUUUUUUCCCGAUGUGUAAUUCAGUGUCACAUGAUUAAAACGAGACCCUGUUGCAAAGUCGCUAUCACUGUAUGUUUCAUGAUCUUCAUGUUCUGAGUCUGAGUGAGAUGAUGAGCUAUCACUCGAGUCAAGGGAAGUUUUGUACAACUCAAGAAUAUCACAUCUACAUUCACUACAUGGGGUAAUUGCAUGUCCAUGAGUCUCUGCAGUCACAGAGACACUUGCAAGAUAUGGCACAGUUGUCCAUAGCACUCAUGACUUCAGUAAAGCUCAACUCGUCGACAUACGUUGGUUCUGACAUACUGUUUCAUUUCAUCCGAAAUAUUCCGCCUGCCACUGAGACAUCGUCUAAAUUUCAUGAGAAGAGCAUGUGCCUGCUUUUCUGGAUCCCUGCCUGCUCCGUCCUUGUCUCUUGAAUAUAAUCCUCAACAUUAUUGGCUGGACCAUAGUGGAUGACGGUUUCCACACUUUGUAAGUCCCAAGCUGAAUGGUGUUGAGCAAUGGACUAUCAAGGGACUAUCAUCCUCUUGAAACCAUUUGGAUCCAUGAAGGACUCUGACACACUUCCCUGUUUUCCUUCUCAUUCAUACAUAUUCUGUAUGUUGUUAUGCAUGAUUGAUGUUGAACUUUAAUUGAAACUUUAGCUUGAAAAUUGGCCGAUUUCUUUUAUGAAAUUUAACUCCUAUUAUAAGAAUAAGAUCAACAUAUGCAAAAACAAUUGUUGUUAGAUGAUUAUUUUUUUGUAACCGAUCAACAAGAUCAACUUUAGUGUUUUAGUGUUUUAACUUAGCUAAUGUAAUGUAAUACAGUGGAUGUAUGCAUUCCUUUUUCAUAAGGGCAUUAACAUAUAUUACAUAAUGCCUCUACCUGGGACUGCGGCCAAACUUACAAAAUUAACCCUUGUUUGAGAGUAACAAGUAUCAAGUUCAUGAUGAUUGUAGAAGUGAUUGUAUGUAUUCAUAAAUGUGACACAUGCACAUUUUGAAAUGUUAAUAUUUGUGCUUUAACUUUGAUUUGAUGAAUAUCAAAUUAGAUAUUGUAUACACUUUAUAGCUACUUGUGAUCAGUGCACAUUUUUAUACCUUUAGAUUGUGCAGUUUCAUAGUGGUUAGUAAGAAUAUUUUGUGAAUUUAUACUUGUUUUAUCACAAAACAUGUGAAUGAGUGAAUGUCGUCUCAUACUGCAGUCAGCAAUAUUGCAGCCAUAUGAAGGCAGCCUGUAAACCAGUAAUUGAUACGCACACCAUCCUAGUACAUAAAACAUUCGCUCUCCAUGCCUAUUUAUGGUGUCCCCGUCGUGAUUUUGCUGGGAUAUUGCCAAAAGAUGCGUAAAUCCAUGCUCUCUCAAUUCAACAUGCCAUGCCUUGACAGACAAAACGAAAUACAAAAUAUAACAUUUAUACUUACAAUUUUGCAAUGCAGUGUGCUUCAUCAAUGAAAAUUGCCAUCAAAAUCUUCUCUUUAGUCAGGCUGUGUUCCAAGAACUGUCUCUGGACUUGCAAAUAUUAUUAUGUCAGUGUCAGGGUGAAAAAACCGUCACAGUAGCAUGGUUGGAGUUAUUAAGUUUCUUAAACACGAAUGGUGCUAAUUCAAAAGUAAGUGAUUUUCCUGAUCCUGUUGGAGAAAAAAAAGGACAUCCUUUCCUCUGAGGUAACUUACAAUCACUUGUCUUUGAUGAUUCCUGAAGUGAUCAAUUAUGUAACUGCAUUACCUUCCAUACCAACAGUUAUACAUGUAGUUAAGUUAAAUAGAGGGCGUAUAUACUUAAAACACAACAUCAAUCCUUUGUUCCGUUCAGCAGUGUGUCAGAUUCGUGAUGGCUAGCUUGAGGUGGCUAGACUUGCUUUUUGUAUGCAUUACUAGAUUCUUUUUUUAAAUGAAAUAAAUAUAUUCCACGGUCAUUGGUGCAGGACUAAUUGUGUAUAUCACCUGAAUUUUGGUCAAUACCUGAAAUACUCAGUCGCCAAUACAGCCCCUAUUUCAUAUAAGGUUAUGAAAAUACAUGUCGGUUGGAGCCUGAAGCCUGAAGUAGAAUUUAGGUUAUUACACGGAUGAUAUACAUGUAAGGCCGAAAAUUGAUGAACUUCUUUAUUAUGAAGAACACAAUGUUUGGGACUAAUAUCAUUAGUUGAAGGAGUAAGUAUUACACCCAAACGUUCUGUUCCACACAAUGCGUUUCACUUCUGAAUGUUUUUCUAAGAGUUGAUACAUACACUUGCCUUGUAUAUAUGGUUGAUGCACGUCGAGUGUCUCAGAAACGCGGGAUCUGCAGGUAUUAGAGCUGAAUACAGUUGUGAUUUGACGAAUUCUUUUUCUUUUGACUCUUCCUCUUAUUUCGUUUUUCAGCUUAGCAUUGUGUAUACACAACGUAAUUAACGGAUUCUGACAUCAGCCACAUAUCUCGGAACCACCCCACGAGUCUCUCUUAACCGUUCAAUUAACGUUCCGCUUGGUGUUGCCACACCUGUCCGCCAUCUGCUGUUGAGAUACUGUAACGGUUCUCGUCUGAAAAGAGGACUUCUCCCACUGCUGGUGCUGUGCUACCCACUGAAGACGGUCCAGGAAACAAAGAAGAAGACUGAAAGGAUACCACUGGGAGUGCUUCAGUGAGGACCUCAGUGACCGUUCUCCAUCACAGUAGGUGCUCAGCGGAGGGGACUACCUCACCCUUGAGAGGCAGAAACAAGCCAAUCAUGCACUUACGAGAUGGACCUACACCAAG
Haliotis rufescens (red abalone) is the source of this 4155-nucleotide long non-coding RNA. RefSeq lists it as uncharacterized. The record is from RefSeq and is a predicted model, not a curated record. The transcript is spliced from 4 exons. NCBI's taxonomy places the organism in Eukaryota, Metazoa, Mollusca, Gastropoda, Lepetellida, Haliotidae.